GACGAACGCUGGCGGCGUGCUUAACACAUGCAAGUCGAACGGAAAGGCCCUGCUUUUGUGGGGUGCUCGAGUGGCGAACGGGUGAGUAACACGUGAGUAACCUGCCCUUGACUUUGGGAUAACUUCAGGAAACUGGGUCUAAUACCGGAUAGGAGCUCCUGCUGCAUGGGGGGGGUUGGAGAGUUUCGGCGGUUGGGGAUGGACUCGCGGCUUAUCAGCUUGUUGGUGGGGUAGUGGCUUACCAAGGCUUUGACGGGUAGCCGGCCUGAGAGGGUGACCGGCCACAUUGGGACUGAGAUACGGCCCAGACUCCUACGGGAGGCAGCAGUGGGGAAUAUUGCACAAUGGGCGGAAGCCUGAUGCAGCAACGCCGCGUGCGGGAUGACGGCCUUCGGGUUGUAAACCGCUUUCGCCUGUGACGAAGCGUGAGUGACGGUAAUGGGUAAAGAAGCACCGGCUAACUACGUG
RNAcentral lists this ribosomal RNA (468 nucleotides) under uncultured bacterium. RNAcentral describes it as "partial 16S ribosomal RNA". It matches the Rfam family "Bacterial small subunit ribosomal RNA", at positions 28 to 507 of the family's 1533-position model. The record is from RNAcentral.